UUUUUAGCAUAAGUAUAUCUCAUGAAGUAUUUGGAACAUACUUAUCCUAAAA
RNAcentral lists this microRNA precursor (52 nucleotides) under Tupaia belangeri chinensis (Chinese tree shrew). RNAcentral's name for it is "Tupaia chinensis (Chinese tree shrew) mir-1302 microRNA precursor family". It matches the Rfam family "mir-1302 microRNA precursor family". The record is from Rfam by way of RNAcentral. Lineage: Eukaryota; Metazoa; Chordata; Mammalia; Scandentia; Tupaiidae.